This 27-nucleotide small RNA is filed under the name Bombyx mori (domestic silkworm). RNAcentral's name for it is "ovarian small RNA-32718". Lineage: Eukaryota; Metazoa; Arthropoda; Insecta; Lepidoptera; Bombycidae. The record is from RNAcentral.
UGAUCGUGGUCCACAGGGGCUCUGAAA